This 497-nucleotide ribosomal RNA is filed under the name uncultured bacterium. Its description in RNAcentral is "partial 16S ribosomal RNA". It matches the Rfam family "Bacterial small subunit ribosomal RNA", at positions 28 to 507 of the family's 1533-position model. The record is from RNAcentral.
GACGAACGCUGGCGGCGUGCCUAAUACAUGCAAGUUGAGCGCUGAAGGAUGGUACUUGUACCCACUGGAUGAGCAGCGAACGGGUGAGUAACGCGUGGGGAAUCUGCCUUUGAGCGGGGGACAACAUUUGGAAACGAAUGCUAAUACCGCAUAAAAACUUUAAACACAAGUUUUAAGUUUGAAAGAUGCAAUUGCCUCACUCAAAGAUGAUCCCGCGUUGUAUUAGCUAGUUGGUGAGGUAAAGGCUCACCAAGGCGAUGAUACAUAGCCGACCUGAGAGGGUGAUCGGCCACAUUGGGACUGAGACACGGCCCAAACUCCUACGGGAGGCAGCAGUAGGGAAUCUUCGGCAAUGGACGAAAGUCUGACCGAGCAACGCCGCGUGAGUGAAGAAGGUUUUCGGAUCGUAAAACUCUGUUGGUAGAGAAGAACGUUGGUGAGAGUGGAAAGCUCAUCAAGUGACGGUAACUACCCAGAAAGGGACGGCUAACUACGUG